Molecule: transfer RNA, 67 nt
Filed under: Sinopotamon yaanense
Lineage: Eukaryota; Metazoa; Arthropoda; Malacostraca; Decapoda; Potamidae
Description: tRNA-His
Source: RNAcentral
AUUCAGGUAGUUUAAAAAAAAUAUUGAUUUGUGGUAUCAAAGAAAUUUAUUAUUAUAAUUCUGAAUU